RNAcentral lists this ribosomal RNA (253 nucleotides) under uncultured bacterium. Its description in RNAcentral is "partial 16S ribosomal RNA". It matches the Rfam family "Bacterial small subunit ribosomal RNA", at positions 524 to 776 of the family's 1533-position model. The record is from RNAcentral.
UACGGGGGGGGCAAGCGUUGUUCGGAAUUACUGGGCGUAAAGGGCGCGUAGGCGGUUCGCUAAGUUGAAUGUGAAAACUCUGGGCUUAACCCAGAGCCUGCAUUCAAUACUGGCGGGCUAGAGUUCUGGAGGGGAUAGCGGAAUUCCUGGUGUAGCGGUGAAAUGCGUAGAUAUCGCCUGGAACGCCGAAGGUGAAAACAGUCUGCUGGGGGCGCACCGACGCUGAGACACGAAAGCCAGGGGAGCGAACGGG